Molecule: ribosomal RNA, 253 nt
Filed under: uncultured bacterium
Lineage: Bacteria
Description: partial 16S ribosomal RNA
Rfam family: Bacterial small subunit ribosomal RNA
Source: RNAcentral
UACGUAGGGUGCGAGCGUUGUCCGGAAUUAUUGGGCGUAAAGAGCUUGUAGGCGGUCUGUCGCGUCUGCUGUGAAAAUCCGGGGCUCAACCCCGGACUUGCAGUGGGUACGGGCAAACUAGAGUGUGGUAGGGGAGACUGGAAUUCCUGGUGUAGCGGUGAAAUGCGCAGAUAUCAGGAGGAACACCGAUGGCGAAGGCAGGUCUCUGGGCCACUACUGACGCUGAGAAGCGAAAGCAUGGGGAGCGAACAGG